Manis pentadactyla (Chinese pangolin) is the source of this 847-nucleotide long non-coding RNA. RefSeq lists it as uncharacterized. The transcript has 3 exons. The record is from RefSeq and is a predicted model, not a curated record. Lineage: Eukaryota; Metazoa; Chordata; Mammalia; Pholidota; Manidae.
CCCGCCCGAGUAUUAGUAGGCGAGGAGCGUCGGGGCUUCCCAGCCAGUCGCUUCUCCCGGGAAUUAGAACGAACUCUAGUGGCGGUUUCUGACUCGGUUCUGAGCUUGAGGGCAGCAACAGGUGGCGGUGUACGGCAGAGUGGCCGCGGCGAGGACGCGUUCUGGAGUGGGGACAGCUGGCCUUGGGGCCUGACCGCAUAGUCAACAUACUGGGUCAUUCUACUGCUACACAGCCCCAACCCCUUUGAAAACAGAGCUGUUGGUGAGGGUCAAGUAGAAUUCUGCUCCUGGGAAAUUAUCUUACGGAAAGAAAUCAAAAGAGAAGAAUAUAUGCUAUUCAUUGCAGCCUUAUUUGUCACAGCAAAAACAAGGGAACAAACACAAACAACUGCACAAAAGAACCAAACAGCAUACGAAAAACCCUGAAACCCUCAAGUCAACUGGGAAGCUAUGACAUGUCAUCAACUGGAUGGAAAAUUGCGUAGCCACUGACAUGCACAAUUCUAAAAAGUGUGUAGCUACAUGGAAAAGUGCUUGAGCAUCGUUCCAUGGAAAGAGCUACAUAGAAUGGUAUCUGCUCCGAAGCACAAUCACCUAUAAGUGUGAGGACGGCCUGAAAGGAAACAUGGAAAUGUGAAGAGCCAACCUAUUAAGAUGAUGGGAUUUUGAAUCAAUAAAAUUCUUUUUUACUUCUUCAAGUUUACUGAGUUAUAAAUGACAUACACUAAAUUAUGCCUAUGUAAAAUAUGCUGUUUGUUUUUGACAUACGUAUGCACGUGCAAAACCAUGACCAAAAUCAAGAUAAUAUAUCCAUCAUUCUAAAAAGUUUUUGUGUGCUUUGACAAUG